CGAAGAAGAGAUGGAGGUGGACCCUCAGGCAGAUAUGGAUGAGAUGAUGGAUGUGGAUGUUGAAGAGAGAGUUGAAGAGAUGGAGGUGGAGAUGGAAGCUGAUGUGGAAGAGAUGGAAGUAGAUCAGGAAGAUGAGGUGGAAGACAUGAUCCUGGGAUAAGGACACCCCGCCUCAGCAGCAGGACUGACGGACGUGCCGGCCACGGAAUCGGCCACUUGUACAUAUGUUUUACAUGUUGUUCUGUAAAUACAUUUUAUAUUAUUGAAUUUUUAAGAAGUUUGUUGGUUUUAUAAAGAAAAUAAUUUAGGAAGAUAGAUUUUUAAUUAAGAAGAUAAGUUUUUUAUUAAGAAAAUAGUUUUUUUAAGAAGAUAAGUUUCCUUUAUAAGAAGAUAGUUUUGUUCGAAGAAGAUAGUUGUUUUAUUUAGAAGAUAGUUGUUUUUAUUCAGAAGAUAUUUUUAUUCAGAAGACAAUUGUUUUUUAUAAGAAGAUGUUUGUUGAUAUUAAGACUGUUGUCAUCAAGAAGACUGUCGUUUCUAUAAAGAAGAGUACUGGUUUUAUUAAGAAAAUUCUGAAAAUAUCAAUAAAUUCUGGACACAUGU
Long non-coding RNA from Pipra filicauda (Wire-tailed manakin), 600 nucleotides. RefSeq lists it as uncharacterized. The transcript is spliced from 2 exons. The record is from RefSeq and is a predicted model, not a curated record. NCBI's taxonomy places the organism in Eukaryota, Metazoa, Chordata, Aves, Passeriformes, Pipridae.